Non-coding RNA from Cyanistes caeruleus (blue tit), 455 nucleotides. NCBI's taxonomy places the organism in Eukaryota, Metazoa, Chordata, Aves, Passeriformes, Paridae. The record is from RefSeq and is a predicted model, not a curated record.
CCCGGGGCCCGGAGGGGACAGCGCGACACUCGCACGGCCCUACCCGGGCAUGGACAGCACCGUCCGGAGGGUGGAAGCACAUUUUAAGCAACGUUUUUCAGUGGCACCAUCUGAGAAUUUUGGCAGUGGUGGAGAGAGAUGAGCAGAGAGAUAUCCAAAGCCUCCCUUGGAAUUACAUCCAGUAACUUCCAUUUCCUCCACAAGACUGAACCAACCCUGUGACUACUUGGGGAUGCAUCAUGGCAAAAAAUAGAUGUCUGAAGUUGCCGGCAAGAUCCCAAAAGUGAACAUUCUGUAGGGACAACAUUAAAGCAAGCCCAAGUGAGUAUGAGAAAUCAGAGUAACACACAGAUUUUCUUACAGAGCCAAUUCAGAGCCUGACAUUUCCGCCCACACAGCACAGCUCAGUGACAGGCAAUAAGACACAGCAGCAAUAUGAGCAACAUGAGACUCCA